RNAcentral lists this ribosomal RNA (253 nucleotides) under uncultured bacterium. RNAcentral's name for it is "partial 16S ribosomal RNA". It matches the Rfam family "Bacterial small subunit ribosomal RNA", at positions 524 to 776 of the family's 1533-position model. The record is from RNAcentral.
UACGUAGGGGGCAAGCGUUGUCCGGAGUUAUUGGGCGUAAAGAGCGUGUAGGCGGCCUUACAGGUCAGCUGUGAAAACUCGAGGCUCAACCUCGAGACGUCGGUUGAAACCGUAAGGCUAGAGUCCGGAAGAGGAGAGUGGAAUUCCCGGUGUAGCGGUGAAAUGCGCAGAUAUCGGGAAGAACACCCGUGGCGAAGGCGGCUCUCUGGGACGGUACUGACGCUGAGACGCGAAAGCGUGGGGAGCGAACAGG